Molecule: transfer RNA, 78 nt
Filed under: Calditrichales bacterium
Lineage: Bacteria; Pseudomonadati; Calditrichota; Calditrichia; Calditrichales
Description: tRNA-Val
Rfam family: tRNA
About the family: Transfer RNA (tRNA) molecules are approximately 80 nucleotides in length. Their secondary structure includes four short double-helical elements and three loops (D, anti-codon, and T loops). Further hydrogen bonds mediate the characteristic L-shaped molecular structure. tRNAs have two regions of fundamental functional importance: the anti-codon, which is responsible for specific mRNA codon recognition, and the 3' end, to which the tRNAs corresponding amino acid is attached (by aminoacyl-tRNA synthetases). tRNAs cope with the degeneracy of the genetic code in two manners: having more than one tRNA (with a specific anti-codon) for a particular amino acid; and 'wobble' base-pairing, i.e. permitting non-standard base-pairing at the 3rd anti-codon position.
Source: RNAcentral
GGGACGGUAGCUCAGUUUGGUUAGAGCGCUACGUUGACAUCGUAGAGGUCGUGAGUUCAAGUCUCUCUCGUCCCACAA